Molecule: transfer RNA, 71 nt
Filed under: Ictidomys tridecemlineatus (thirteen-lined ground squirrel)
Lineage: Eukaryota; Metazoa; Chordata; Mammalia; Rodentia; Sciuridae
Description: Spermophilus tridecemlineatus (thirteen-lined ground squirrel) tRNA
Rfam family: tRNA
About the family: Transfer RNA (tRNA) molecules are approximately 80 nucleotides in length. Their secondary structure includes four short double-helical elements and three loops (D, anti-codon, and T loops).
Source: Rfam by way of RNAcentral
GGGGAAGUAGCUCAGUAAUAGAGUGACUGCCUAGUGUGCAGGAGACCUUGGGUUCAAUCCCAGUAACACCU